AUGCAAGUCGAGCGAACAGAUAAGGAGCUUGCUCCUUUGACGUUAGCGGCGGACGGGUGAGUAACACGUGGAUAACCUACCUAUAAGACUGGGAUAACUUCGGGAAACCGGAGCUAAUACCGGAUAACAUAUUGAACCGCAUGGUUCAAUAGUGAAAGGCGGCUUUGCUGUCACUUAUAGAUGGAUCCGCGCCGUAUUAGCUAGUUGGUAAGGUAACGGCUUACCAAGGCAACGAUACGUAGCCGACCUGAGAGGGUGAUCGGCCACACUGGAACUGAGACACGGUCCAGACUCCUACGGGAGGCAGCAGUAGGGAAUCUUCCGCAAUGGGCGAAAGCCUGACGGAGCAACGCCGCGUGAGUGAUGAAGGUCUUCGGAUCGUAAAACUCUGUUAUCAGGGAAGAACAAAUGUGUAAGUAACUGUGCACAUCUUGACGGUACCUGAUCAGAAAGCCACGGCUAACUACGUGCCAGCAGCCGCGGUAAUACGUAGGUGGCAAGCGUUAUCCGGAAUUAUUGGGCGUAAAGCGCGCGUAGGCGGUUUUUUAAGUCUGAUGUGAAAGCCCACGGCUCAACCGUGGAGGGUCAUUGGAAACUGGAAAACUUGAGUGCAGAAGAGGAAAGUGGAAUUCCAUGUGUAGCGGUGAAAUGCGCAGAGAUAUGGAGGAACACCAGUGGCGAAGCGACUUUCUGGUCUGUAACUGACGCUGAUGUGCGAAA
Molecule: ribosomal RNA, 720 nt
Filed under: uncultured bacterium
Lineage: Bacteria
Description: bacterial SSU rRNA
Rfam family: Bacterial small subunit ribosomal RNA
Source: RNAcentral